AUCCAGUUGACGAGUCCCAAAUAAGACGAAAUGUGCGUCAAACUAGAU
This is a non-coding RNA of Schistosoma curassoni, 48 nucleotides long. Lineage: Eukaryota; Metazoa; Platyhelminthes; Trematoda; Strigeidida; Schistosomatidae. The record is from Rfam.